RNAcentral lists this long non-coding RNA (267 nucleotides) under Lathyrus oleraceus (garden pea). RNAcentral describes it as "Pisum sativum (pea) long non-coding RNA (PSAT_LNC009049)". The record is from RNAcentral. Lineage: Eukaryota; Viridiplantae; Streptophyta; Magnoliopsida; Fabales; Fabaceae.
AUUACUAUUGAAUGAUGAUUAUUUUCUCAAUUUACAACAGUUUUAUCUCCUUCAAGGAGCUUGAUUAUUAUUGAAUGAUGAUUAUUUUCUCAAUUUACAACAGUUUUAUCUCUUGAUUAUUAUUGAAUGAUGAUUAUUUUCUCAAUUUAGAGCACCAGUUUACAAAUAAUAGACAUGAUUUUUCAUUGAAAACUCAUAAGUUAAACCUUUUAUGUUAUCAACAUUUUAUUAAAAGAUUUUCAUGAUUGAUUUAGAGCGGUAAUUUGC